GAUGAACGCUGGCGGCGUGCCUAAUACAUGCCAGUCGAGCGAACAGACGAGGAGCUUGCUCCUCUGACGUUAGCGGCGGACGGGUGAGUAACACGUGGAUAACCUACCUAUAAGACUGGGAUAACUUCGGGAAACCGGUGCUAAUACCGGAUAAUAUAUUGUACCGCAUGGUUCAAUAGUGAAUGACGGUUUUGCUGUCACUUAUAGAUGGAUCCGCGCCGCAUUAGCUAGUUGGUAAGGUAACGGCUUACCAAGGCAACGAUGCGUAGCCGACCUGAGAGGGUGAUCGGCCACACUGGAACUGAGACACGGUCCAGACUCCUACGGGAGGCAGCAGUAGGGAAUCUUCCGCAAUGGGCGAAAGCCUGACGGAGCAACGCCGCGUGAGUGAUGAAGGUCUUCGGAUCGUAAAACUCUGUUAUUAGGGAAGAACAAAUGUGUAAGUAACUAUGCACGUCUUGACGGUACCUAAUCAGAAAGCCACGGCUAACUACGUG
RNAcentral lists this ribosomal RNA (497 nucleotides) under uncultured bacterium. RNAcentral describes it as "partial 16S ribosomal RNA". It matches the Rfam family "Bacterial small subunit ribosomal RNA", at positions 28 to 507 of the family's 1533-position model. The record is from RNAcentral.